This is a non-coding RNA of Malus domestica (apple), 391 nucleotides long. NCBI's taxonomy places the organism in Eukaryota, Viridiplantae, Streptophyta, Magnoliopsida, Rosales, Rosaceae. The record is from RefSeq and is a predicted model, not a curated record.
CUCCACUCAAUAAGUACCUGCACAUAAAAUUUUGAUACCAUGUGGUGCAUUCAACUGCAAACACAAAACAGCACUGAGGCACCACAAAUUCAAAGAGAGCGAAGAAGGGUUUACAACUUUCGAUGUACGGAGCAGGAGCUAAAGAAGAUCUUCAACUAUGUAGUGGUUGUCUUUGCACUUGUAGCGCUGAGGCACUGCAAAUUCAAAGGAAGAGAAGAAGGGUUUAUAACUUUCUAUGUACGUAGCAGAUGUUUUUGCAUUAAAAUAUUAAUUGAUGCCAUGCAUGCAUAAAAAAGUGUGUGUUGAUUUUUGUUUGGAGAUAAUCUUGUUGAUCAGAGCCUGUUUGUUGAUCAGUUAACACUACACAAGUUAAGACCGAUGUCUCAUGUCA